UAGGACAGGCUCCAAAGCUACAGAGAA
This 27-nucleotide non-coding RNA is filed under the name Cricetulus griseus (Chinese hamster). The record is from RNAcentral. Lineage: Eukaryota; Metazoa; Chordata; Mammalia; Rodentia; Cricetidae.